UACGUGGCAUACGGCUCAGUAACACGUAGUCAACAUGCCCAGGGGACGUGGAUAACCUCGGGAAACUGAGGAUAAACCGCGAUAGGCCAUGAUUUCUGGAAUGGUUCAUGGCCAAAAUCUAUAUGGCCCCUGGAUUGGACUGCGGCCGAUCAGGCUGUUGGUGAGGUAAUGGCCCACCAAACCUGUAACCGGUACGGGCUCUGAGAGGAGGAGCCCGGAGAUGGGCACUGAGACAAGGGCCCAGGCCCUAUGGGGCGCAGCAGGCGCGAAAUCUCUGCAAUAGGCGAAAGCUUGACAGGGUUACUCUGAGUGGUUCCCGUUAAGGGGAUCUUUUGGCACCUUUAAAAAUGGUGCAGAAUAAGGGGUGGGCAAGUCUGGUGUCAGCCGCCGCGGUAAUACCAGCACCCCGAGUGGUCGGGACGAUUAUUGGGCCUAAAGCAUCCGUAGCUUGUUCUGCAAGUCUUCCGUUAAAUCCACCUGCUCAACAGAUGGGCUGCGGGAGAUACUACAGGGCUAGGAGGCGGGAGAGGCAAGCGGUACUCAGUGGGUAGGGGUAAAAUCCUCUGAUCCACUGAAGACCACCAGUGGCGAAGGCGGCUUGCCAGAACGCGCUCGACGGUGAGGGAUGAAAGCUGGGGGAGCAAACCGGAUUAGAUACCCGGGUAGUCCCAGCUG
RNAcentral lists this ribosomal RNA (675 nucleotides) under uncultured Nitrososphaerota archaeon. RNAcentral's name for it is "bacterial SSU rRNA". It matches the Rfam family "Archaeal small subunit ribosomal RNA", at positions 75 to 753 of the family's 1478-position model. The record is from RNAcentral. Lineage: Archaea; Thermoproteati; Nitrososphaerota.